CCUACGGGUGGCAGCAGUGAGGAAUAUUGGUCAAUGGUCGGGAGCCUGAACCAGCCAAGCCGCGUGAAGGAUGAAUGUACAACGGGUCGUAAACUUCUUUUAUCAAGGAAUAAAGUGAGGCACGUGUGCCUGUUUGUAUGUACUUUAUGAAUAAGCAUCGGCUAACUCCGUGCCAGCAGCCGCGGUAAUACGGAGGAUCCGAGCGUUAUCCGGAUUUAUUGGGUUUAAAGGGUGCGUAGGUGGGUUGUUAAGUCAGUGGUGAAAGUUCGGGGCUCAACCCCGUCCAGCCGUUGAAACUGGCAGACUUGAGUUGGCGAGAAGUACGCGGAAUGCGCGGUGUAGCGGUGAAAUGCAUAGAUAUCGCGCAGAACUUCGAUUGCGAAGGCAGCGUACCGGCGCCAGACUGACGCUGAGGCACGAAAGCGUGGGGAUCGAACAGGAUUAGAUACCCUUGUAGUC
This 459-nucleotide ribosomal RNA is filed under the name uncultured bacterium. RNAcentral describes it as "partial 16S ribosomal RNA". It matches the Rfam family "Bacterial small subunit ribosomal RNA", at positions 338 to 795 of the family's 1533-position model. The record is from RNAcentral.